This 312-nucleotide ribosomal RNA is filed under the name Escherichia coli. RNAcentral's name for it is "bacterial SSU rRNA". It matches the Rfam family "Bacterial small subunit ribosomal RNA", at positions 481 to 792 of the family's 1533-position model. Lineage: Bacteria; Pseudomonadati; Pseudomonadota; Gammaproteobacteria; Enterobacterales; Enterobacteriaceae. The record is from RNAcentral.
ACAGAAUAAGCACCGGCUAACUUCGUGCCAGCAGCCGCGGUAAUACGAAGGGUGCAAGCGUUAAUCGGAAUUACUGGGCGUAAAGCGCGCGUAGGUGGUUCAGUAAGUUGGAUGUGAAAUCCCCGGGCUCAACCUGGGAACUGCAUCCAAAACUACUGAGCUAGAGUACGGUAGAGGGUGGUGGAAUUUCCUGUGUAGCGGUGAAAUGCGUAGAUAUAGGAAGGAACACCAGUGGCGAAGGCGACCACCUGGACUGAUACUGACACUGAGGUGCGAAAGCGUGGGGAGCAAACAGGAUUAGAUACCCUGUUA